UACUAGAAGGGGUGUCGAUCG
This 21-nucleotide non-coding RNA is filed under the name Arabidopsis thaliana (thale cress). Lineage: Eukaryota; Viridiplantae; Streptophyta; Magnoliopsida; Brassicales; Brassicaceae. The record is from RNAcentral.